UUAACUCGUUCAAUCUUGCAGGGCACAUGGCCCACUCAGACAGCCUGUGUGUACCAGAGUUUCUGUUUGAGCCCCUCCCCAGGCACCUCCGUCCUGUGACCGGGCAUGGUCGGACAGGCAGCAAUGGCUGCUGACCUGGGGAAGCAACAUGGAUGGGUACUCGGAGGGGUUUGGAGCUCGGGGACCGGAUAUGGGGGUCCCGAUACUUUUUAAUGAUCCUUCCGCAGGUUCACCUACGGAAA
Molecule: unclassified non-coding RNA, 242 nt
Filed under: uncultured fungus
Lineage: Eukaryota; Fungi
Description: sequence contains ITS1
Source: RNAcentral